RNAcentral lists this ribosomal RNA (443 nucleotides) under uncultured bacterium. RNAcentral describes it as "partial 16S ribosomal RNA". It matches the Rfam family "Bacterial small subunit ribosomal RNA", at positions 338 to 795 of the family's 1533-position model. The record is from RNAcentral.
CCUACGGGUGGCAGCAGUGGGGAAUAUUGGGCAAUGGGCGCAAGCCUGACCCAGCAACGCCGCGUGAAGGAAGAAGGCUUUCGGGUUGUAAACUUCUUUUCUCAGGGACGAAGCAAGUGACGGUACCUGAGGAAUAAGCCACGGCUAACUACGUGCCAGCAGCCGCGGUAAUACGUAGGUGGCAAGCGUUAUCCGGAUUUACUGGGUGUAAAGGGCGUGUAGGCGGGACUGGAAGUCAGAUGUGAAAACCACGGGCCCAACCUGUUGCCUGCAUUUGAAACUGGAGUUCUUGAGUACAGGAGAGGCAGACGGAAUUCCUAGUGUAGCGGUGAAAUGCGUAGAUAUUAGGAGGAACCCCAGGGGCGAAGGCGGUCGGCUGGACAGCAACUGACGCUGAGGCGCGAAAGCGUGGGGAGCAAACAGGAUUAGAUACCCGGGUAGUC